ACUGUUUUUUAUACGAGAUAAAACAAGGUCACAAUUGAAUGAGGCUAUUUUAAGAGAGGAUUAUGGAGAAGCUGCAAAGCUGAAGUUGGCCAUAACUGGUGCUACAAAAAGGAUAUUGUUGGAGCAGCAUUGACUAUUAUGAAUAGAGCUAUAGAGGAAGAGCGAUACAUCGAUGCAACUUUCAUUCGUGAUCAUGUUGGGGCAGGACUGCUACAUGAAGCUAUUCACUCCAUUGAGCUUUAUUCAUUUUGCUAUAUGCAAGGCUAUAACAGUGGUUGCCAAUUCUUAUAUAUUGAUUGAAAAAAAUUCUUCAAAUGUUGAACGCAUACAGAAACUUAAAGCAAUGUUCAGAAAGGGUGCAUGCGACUUAAAUACUGAUGAA
Long non-coding RNA from Zingiber officinale, 382 nucleotides. RefSeq lists it as uncharacterized. The record is from RefSeq and is a predicted model, not a curated record. The transcript has 4 exons. Lineage: Eukaryota; Viridiplantae; Streptophyta; Magnoliopsida; Zingiberales; Zingiberaceae.